CCCUUUCGCACCUGGUUGAUACGAUCGUGAGUUCCCACUUUGAAAAUUCGUAUUUUGGCGCGAAGUCUGUUUAUCCGGCCCAAACCGAGCUCGCUCGAUCGUGCGUUCAUCGAAUAACCAAUAGAAACGCGCUGUGGUUCAAAUUGGAAUCAGUUGCGUCGUGGCAAACGUCAACAUGGCCACGUUCCAUGACCCCGUGACCGGACGGCGAAUGCAAUUAACAGAUGAUCUCGUCCUCGAACUGCUUCAAGAUGGAAAUUGUUCUGAUCUGUACUUGGACGAAGAUUUUUACCGGUGUAUGGGAUUAUCACGUGUAGCUACUACCCCGUACACGGCCGCUGUCCAUUGUCCACUGGCCCUGGGUUUACUUUGUCAGAAUUUGUUUCAAACUUCUGGAGAAAAGUAACAACGAAGUCGCGUGGGCGCACGAAAAAUAAAAAGUUUUCUGAAUAAUCCCAAUAAUAAUAUUAAUUGGUUCACAGAACUGUGAUAUAAUGUACCUUGUUAAGUGUUAAGUACAAUAAAUAGUUGAUUUUGAUUUAAAA
Molecule: long non-coding RNA, 545 nt
Organism: Pectinophora gossypiella (pink bollworm)
Lineage: Eukaryota; Metazoa; Arthropoda; Insecta; Lepidoptera; Gelechiidae
Exons: 2
Source: RefSeq, a predicted model, not a curated record